Eucalyptus grandis is the source of this 278-nucleotide long non-coding RNA. RefSeq lists it as uncharacterized. The record is from RefSeq and is a predicted model, not a curated record. NCBI's taxonomy places the organism in Eukaryota, Viridiplantae, Streptophyta, Magnoliopsida, Myrtales, Myrtaceae. The transcript is spliced from 3 exons.
AGAAGGUUUAAUUUGUACUCAAGAUUGGUUGAGAGCUGUUCGCGUGCCAAUUAAUGUUGAAGAGUGUAUCGAGAAUGCGGAACAAUUUGAGGCGGAUUUGGAUUGUCUUACCAAGGAGAUUAUCAUUGGAAAAUAAACUUCAUUUUGUCGAAACUCCAAUUUUGUGGUUUUUGUCAGAGAUUUUGUACCACGUGGAACGCAAGGCCGAAGAAGGAGAAGAAGAUCGAGCACAUGAAGGACAAGGUUGAUAUGUGAUUAGCCAAAAAUUGUAUUACAAC